AGCUAGCUGCGAGAAUUAAUGUGAAUUGCAGGACACAUUGAUCAUCGACACUUUGAACGCACUUUGCGGCCCCGGGUUCCUCCCGGGGCUACGUCUGUCUGAGGGUCGCAUGACAA
RNAcentral lists this ribosomal RNA (116 nucleotides) under Sphyrna tudes (smalleye hammerhead). RNAcentral describes it as "partial 5.8S ribosomal RNA". It matches the Rfam family "5.8S ribosomal RNA", at positions 47 to 154 of the family's 154-position model. Rfam says of the family: 5.8S ribosomal RNA (5.8S rRNA) is a component of the large subunit of the eukaryotic ribosome. Lineage: Eukaryota; Metazoa; Chordata; Chondrichthyes; Carcharhiniformes; Carcharhinidae. The record is from RNAcentral.